RNAcentral lists this ribosomal RNA (253 nucleotides) under uncultured bacterium. RNAcentral's name for it is "partial 16S ribosomal RNA". It matches the Rfam family "Bacterial small subunit ribosomal RNA", at positions 524 to 776 of the family's 1533-position model. The record is from RNAcentral.
UACGUAGGUGGCAAGCGUUGUCCGGAUUUAUUGGGCGUAAAGCGCGCGCAGGCGGUCCUUUAAGUCUGAUGUGAAAUCUUGCGGCUCAACCGCAAGCGGUCAUUGGAAACUGGGGGACUUGAGUACAGAAGAGGAAAGCGGAAUUCCACGUGUAGCGGUGAAAUGCGUAGAGAUGUGGAGGAACACCAGUGGCGAAGGCGGCUUUCUGGUCUGUAACUGACGCUGAGGCGCGAAAGCGUGGGGAGCGAACAGG